UACAGAGGUCCCGAGCGUUGCUCGGAAUCACUGGGCGUAAAGGGUGCGUAGGCGGCCGUGCAAGUCUGGCGUGAAAGCCCCGGGCUCAGCCCGGGAAGUGCGCUCGAAACUGCGCGGCUCGAGUGCCGGAGGGGAGACUGGAAUUCCUGGUGUAGCGGUGAAAUGCGCAGAUAUCAGGAGGAACACCGGUGGCGAAGGCGGGUCUCUGGGCCGAUACUGACGCUGAGGAGCGAAAGCGUGGGGAGCGAACAGG
RNAcentral lists this ribosomal RNA (253 nucleotides) under uncultured bacterium. RNAcentral's name for it is "partial 16S ribosomal RNA". It matches the Rfam family "Bacterial small subunit ribosomal RNA", at positions 524 to 776 of the family's 1533-position model. The record is from RNAcentral.